This 7374-nucleotide long non-coding RNA is filed under the name Nicotiana tabacum (common tobacco). RNAcentral describes it as "long non-coding RNA (NTAB_LNC001353)". Lineage: Eukaryota; Viridiplantae; Streptophyta; Magnoliopsida; Solanales; Solanaceae. The record is from RNAcentral.
UGACAUAUUAUAAAUUAAACUCUAUUGGUAUUAUACAGGUGAGAGUCCACAGAAGGAGAAAGAAAACAAAUCAUAUGCAUGUUGAUCGUUCAGAAUUACUUAAGUUGUUAAGAAGCUUAAAAGGGUAAAAGAAUAAUGGGGUUCGGAAUCCAUUUUCCGUGGCCUAGAAAAGGAAAAGAAUAACAAAGAAAUUCUUGACUUGAGAAUACGUCCAUUGCUUUGGGUUUGAGUUAAGAUUCUGAAAUUCCAUUCCCCAGAAUCUGACUUUUAUCCUGAACCCCAAGUCCUUUUCCCCAUAAGGAAUAUCAUUCCGUGGUCAUUGAUUUCCUUUUAUUUUAAGCCAGUGUCUUCACCCUGGGGUCAACAAGCAGGCACCAAUUCGAGCUGUGCGUCUUUACUAAUCAUGCACAGUGGCAGAGAUACCCUUGUACGAGAGCGUUAUCCGACACCGCUUCAUCGAAAAAAAUUCAAACACAUAAUUAUAUAUUAUAGAUCAACAUUAAUUUGGGACAAUGAAUAAAUUCUUUGAAGAUCUACAACUCCAAAUCCUAACUCAAAUAUAAGCUGAGUUGAUAAUAAGUCAGGCAUUGCUCACACAAAAUUCUGCGUACACUACACUACAGAUCAGGCAUUGACGAACUCUCCCACCAUUGCCUCCCUAAGAUGAUUCGAAAUGCUCUAUUUCUUUAUUUUUAUUUUUUUAAUGUGAGAUUCAUCUUGUACUUUAAAGUAAAAUUAACUAAAUCUAAGAGCUUUAAAAAGGAAAUGCAAGUACAAGAAAGAACAACAGCACAUGUUCUCUUCUUUAAAGUGGAGAAUAUAUCAUGAAAAUAGAAUAAAGAAAGCAACAAAAGAGACGAGGAAGAAGAUAGAUUGGAAUAGCAAAGGCAAAGGGUUCUUCUGCAUGUCUUACAAAACAGAGGAACAGCAGUCAUUGCUUUAUGGCAACAUCACGGAAAAGCAAAUUAAGUACUUUUAAUGUACCAUUACUAGAAAAGAUUAUUUGGGUUAUUCAGAGAGGCAUAAAAUGAAUGCUAUUGCAUGUUUAUACUUCUUCUGUUCCAAUUUUAUAUAUUUUUAAAAAUAAAAAAAUUUAGAAUGCUUUGAAAUGUUUGUCAUCCUUCCAUUUCUAUAAAACUCACAGCUUUCAAAAAUUCAUAUAUAUAAAGUUACUCCAUUUUAAUGUUCUUUUCUUUUUUUUGCAUUUUUUUAAAAUCAAACUAGCUUAUCAACUUGUAACUUUUAGUAUUGAUUCCAUCAUCACUAACAUCAUACAUAUAAGUUAAACUAAUAUCUUAAAUUUCAUCCUCAGCCAACUACCUUUCUGUAAAAUAAAAAGAUGAAAUAUUAUUCAUAGUUUGAUAUAGAAACAUAAAGCAACUACUAGAUCUUGCACAUCAUCAAUUAGAAAAUCUACUUUACCAUAACAGAAGGGAAACUGAGAAUGACAAAAGAAAGACAAACAAUUGUUAAAGACAGUUUGAUCAGAUGAACAACACUAUAACAAGACAGUUAGGUCAGAUAAAUACUAUAACAAGAAGUCUCGGGUUCAAACCUUGUGAACGAAGAAAUUUCCGGUAGGGAGCACUUCUCCCUUAAAUGGGUCUCUGCUACGCACAUUUGGAUUAGAUGAGCUAAUGGGUUCCGGAUAUCAUAUGGUUGAACCUAACAAAAAAAAAAUUUAACUCCAUAAAUCUAUUGAUUUUAGUACAAUAUAAUAGUCCAAUGCAACUCAUACAGCUAACAAUGCACAUCCUCAUUUCAUUCCUAUCCACGUGCCAGCAAAACAGUAUAAGGGAACUCUGCUUUAUACCUAUACCACUUUACCUAAAGGUUGUAAUAUAUUCCUCCAAAGCGCAUAAAAUACCCUAAGAUAUCAGAAUCAGUUGAUCUUUUUCUUGAAAGUUCAACUGACAACUGAUGUGCAUACCUUGUUCAGAGAUGAGGAAUUUUCACUUAUUUCAUAUCAAGAUGGAAAAUAAUUAAACUUAGAUAACAAACAGUCUUACAAACCCCUGAAAUUUAUCCAAAAGAUAUAUUUUUGAUACCAAGAGUCAUUUCCUAACUAUGCAAUCGUGAUUUGUUGAACUUGCUGACCAAUACAAAAAUACAGCAGUUUAGAUGUAUCAUUGCAAUGUUAACAAGGAAAAGGUGCAAAAGAUACUAAGCAUUUCAUAAACAACUAAGUUUAAAUUCCCUAGUUUUCCCUCCACAGAAAAAUGCAAAAAAAAAAAGGAAAAAAAAGGAAGAAACAAAUGAGCACAAAUCUAUGGUGUUUUAGUUUUUAUAAGUGAACUAGAAAUUGAAUUAGCAAGGCGAUAAAUAGAGAUCUCAAGUUUGUGUCACAAUAAACUAUGACAGAAAACUGACAGGUAUCUAUACAUGUUUAUUAAAAAUAAACGGGCACAAAAGAAUGUAAAGUAACUAUUUAUAUUCUCUAGAGCAAAUUAAGGCUCAAGUCAAGGGAAAGGCAAGUAGUCAUCUUCGAGCAAAUGAGUUGACAUGUUUUCCAUCAGGCGACUACGGAAGCAAGUAAUAUCACUUUAUUUCUCCUUUCAAAGGGGUCCCAAUGCCUUGGAGAUGGCUGUCUUACACCAAUUAAAGAAUAGGAAAUAUCUAACGUACUGGAGGUCUCCCUCUAUUUUAGUUCUAUAUAUCCAGGCCGAAUAAGUACCAAACUUACUGAAGGAGACAAAAAGGUAUUUGUUCCUUAUUCCAAUAUUCCUGGCCUUCAAACAAAGCCAAGGAGAAGCAUCUCUCCACAAUUUUUUUACCUUUUUAUCGUAUUCCUUUUUAGUUACUCAAACAUGAUAUAUUAAAAUAGCAUAGACUGAAAAUAAUGCUCAAGAUAUUCCAAAAGUUCAUAUCACUAAAUACAGGAACAGGAGCAAGAUAUUGCAUGAAAGUCUCAUCUAAAAUCAUUAAAUUCUUUUUACCCAAGGCAGAGUAUAGCCAAUAUAAUAGAAUAAAACAUGCAUAUAGGAAAUGCUGCCUCAACAAAUUCUUAACAUGGCCAUAGUAAACUAACAGAGGUUUAUAGAAAGAAAUGUAUUAGUCUUUUUAUUUUGACAUGAAAUAAUUGAAGCAUCUCUCAACCAUUUCCCUAUCUCUUUGCUUUGUUUUUUUUAUCCAAUACAAAGUACUUGAAGCUCUGGUCAACAGAAUCUUCCAUUUGAAAGGGAAAAUGGUUUUGAAGUUUUCAAGAGGUCAUACAUCAUUCAAUAGUGGAUACUUUCAGUCUAUAUCAGAAAAAAAUUCCAAAUUUAAUUCUGGGAAUAUGGUUCCCAAACUUUGCCAGAUAAAGAAUAUGAGAACAUAAAAGUCUCUGGUGGAUAAAUUCUUGUACCCAUUGUAAGGUGUGAAGUGUUUCAAGCAAGUUAUAGUGCAGCGGAAUAUCAUGCUAGGGCCCACAGAUAUGUAAAACUGGAAAGAUGAGAUCUCUUUUUGAGCCGGCUGUGAAGAUUCGAUUGGUUCUAGCGUUCAACUGGCCCUGUCCAAGAUUCUAUGCUUCACCUAGACUCCCUCUCUCUUUCUCACCCCAUUCGCUUAUAAGAGCUCUUUGGAUACAUCUUUGGUCUGUGAAGUUGUACAACAAAGGAGAUAGAUAAGAGCAGUAGUGCAGUUUGAACUGAGUAUCAGAAGCAGAAUUGUUCUCUGAAGAAUAAUACAGAAGAAUCAUGAUUUGCAUCUAAAGGGUAAGACUAGACUGAAACCAAGUACAGCAGAUCACUUUCAGGUACGUUAUAAUUAGUUGAAUUACUUAUAUCGUGCCUAUUAACUCGCACCACGAGACUUAAUUGCUAAUCAUCAUACAGAAGGCCAGAAGAUGUACCAUCAUCACCACCAGGAUAAGAGCAUGCACCCUUCAACAAGAAUGUCUAUCUCUGAAAGGCAUCUGUUCCUGCAAGGUGGAAACGGCAACGGGGAUUCAGGGCUUGUCCUGUCAACUGAUGCCAAGCCAAGAUUGAAAUGGACACCAGACCUCCAUGAGAGGUUUAUAGAAGCCGUUAAUCAACUUGGUGGAGCAGACAGUAAGUGCACACAAAUAUACCAAUUUCAAGACGCACCAGGAAGAUGUUAUUUCGUGAAGAUAAUUAACUGCACUAUUCUUCUAUUGCAGAAGCCACGCCAAAAUCAGUUCUAAAGCUUAUGGGGAUCCAAGGAUUAACCUUGUACCACUUAAAGAGCCAUCUUCAGGUUCGUUCUUAUUUGCUUUAUGGCAUUACAAAAUCCAUGCAUAAACAAGACAUUCUAUGAGGGACAUAUUCGGCGUUGAAGUUUAGCUACCAAGGCAAUAGUUCCAAACAAAACAACUGGUGGUAAGAGGGGAAAAGCAUCUUUUGCAUCAACUGCAAAGAAUUUUCAAAUUGUUUCAUUUAAGCAGCUGCCAUAUAUGUACUUUUAUAGUGUGAAGGAAAACUGAUCAAAACUUUGUACCUGGGCUGGCAAAAAUGCAGAGAAAUAUAGCCCUUUGUUUUUCUUUACAUCCAUAAGACUGAAGAAUAUUUCUGACAAUUUUUUGAUACUUUUAGAUUGGCCAGAAACUAACGCUUUACAAAAAUGCUGGCAGAAAUACAGACUAAGUAAGAAUCUCCAUGGACAAGCAAAUGCUAGUGGGGCCAAUAAAGUUGGUAAGAAAUCAAAUACAUACCCAAGAAAAUAGUUCACAAAACUUCGUUUACGGAGAGAUAACAUCCGAAAACUUACUGACUUUGUGGAAUGGUUACAGCAGCAGGAGAAGAUAGGAUAUCUGAGAAUAGCGCAACUUGCAUGAGCAAUCCAAGCAUCGGACCCCAGCCAAACAAGUAAGAACAAACAACAUUUGAUCCUUCAUUUAAACCAUUCAUCCUUCUAUUUCAUGUCUUAGCAAAAUCUUCAUUUUUUGAUUAUUCUGACAAAAAGUUAUCCAUUCAGAAACAUUCAAAUAAGUGAAGCAAUACAAAUCCAAAUAGAAGUGCAGAGAAGGCUUCAUGAGCAGCUUGAGGUAUGACAUUACUGCAGAAUUUCUCUUACGUAUGAGAAGUGAGAGCAAAGCCUAUGCCAAAAAUACUUGUAGUAAAAUUUGAGACUUCCUGGUUGAUGAUCUGAAAGCCACAAGCAUGAGAGUAUUGAAACUUGAUAGAAGGCACUUUCACCUUCAAGAUAAGCAGCUGGAUAUCUUCAAUAAUCUAGUGAACAGGCCCAGUCCAUGUGUUCUGUUUCAAGAAUUAAGAAUCUAAUCUAGACAUGCAUAGGGUGUUUUUUCUUGUCAAACUUCGAAGAAAAUUUUUCCUUGACGGCUUCUAAAUGAGGCCUAAUUGAACUGAUAUAGGUACAACGACAUUUACAGUUACGGAUAGAAGCUCAAGGAAAAUAUUUGCAUGCCGUGCUCGAGAAAGCACAGGAAACCCUUGGAAGACAAGACAUGGGAACAGUAGGAUUAGAGGCAGCCAAGAUCCAACUAUCAGAAUUGGUAUCCACAGUAUCUAACCAAUGCCUGAACCCUACAUUUUCUGAUAUACAAGAAAUAUCAGGAUUUAGCAGCCAACAAACACAAACUACCCAACUAGCAGAUCGUUCAAUCGAUAGCUGCUUGACCUCUUGUGAAGGCUCUUUGAGGGACAACACUAUGCAUAAUAACCAAAUUGGAUUGAGGCCUUUCGAAUUUACACCAUCUAUAGAAUGUAAGGAUAUUGAGAAUGACACCAGGAUACAACAGACAGGACUAAGAUGGUGUGACAACCUCAAGGAGAAUAGAAAAUUAUUCUCUGCAAUCGAUGAGGGUAAAGAAAAAGCAUUCACCACAGAGACGAACUGCAAGAACUUAUCAAUGAGUAUCGGACUUCAAGAUGGAAACUUGGACGGAAGCAGUAACCAUUCAGAUGGGAAAUUCAAUGAAACAAACACAGCCGUCAGACAUUUUCACCAGGCUGCCAACAGAGGCGAUUCAAUGCAAGAGAGGCAGAAGUCUUCACAAGAGUAUAAGUUGUCUUACUUUGCACCUAAACUGGACCUAAACAUACAUGAUGAAACAGAUGCAGCUUCAAGUUGUAAGCAAUUUGACUUAAAUGGUUUCAGUUGGGGUUGAGGAACCUUAUUAACAAAGGGCAAACCAUGAGAGCAGACGCCAGGUAAUUUGCUUCUUAUAUUUUGAUUGAGAUAGAGGUCGGCAAAUGGAAACAUAGCCCGAUGGUCUCCUUGGAAGGAAAAAAUGAUGUAUAAUAAUUAAAAUUCCAGAUCAAAUAGAAAUAUAGAAUAUUGUAACUCCAUUACAUCUUCUCAGAUCUUAUUUCUGAUCUCAUAUUUAACUUUCAUGCAAAAUUUGAUGUAGAAGAGGGUAUUAAUAAUCUUUAGCAGUUGAAUGAUCCUUCAAUCGAAAACUCUUGCUGCUAAAGUCCUUAGGGGUUCAUAAGCAGACCUCUUCUUAGGAAUAUAUCAUGGAUUUUGCAACUCCAUAUGUUGCAAAUACACCCUCAAACGCCAACUGCCAUAUGCUGCUAGAUUAUAAUCACAUCCAAAGUCACUUCAACAGAAUAUAGAGUCCCAGAAAUCAAACUAACGUCUUUGGAAUAUGUCAAAUAUAAUAUAAUCAUACUGGAAUAACAAAUUCAAAUAAAUCCAAUCACUUUCCUCAAGUGUCACCCUAAAAGUUAUUAGUAUAAAACUUUUCAAGUGUUAUCAAUAAUCACUUUCCCUUAUGAAAGAAGAUUCAUUGAAGCUCGGGAUAGAAAAUUGAUUACCUAAUAUCCAAAUUUUUAUGAGGUGAACUUCUCUUUCAAUGUCAACCUAAUUCUUUUAGCAUCCAAACUAUAAGAAAAAUAUUUAUCUGGAAGCUUGGUUCUAAAAUUGGCCCGCUCUUUUCAUUUAAUAGACAAUUGAAGAUGGGAAAAUUCAAAAUGUAACGCCUGUGUUGAAAAAUUUCUGGCAUUUUAUCAAACACCCAAAAAGCACACGCGGUAUGAAGCUUCAAACUUUCACCCACGCUCGUUUAUUACAAGCUGCAAAAAUUACAGGAACAAAACAAAACAAGCAAUUUUCUUCCUCGUAGAACAAAAUACAACCAUUCUAAGGUAAGCAAAUGAAGAAAUUCAAGUAUAAGGUCCUUUUCAUCCUAAAAAUUACACACAGGCAUAAUGCCGCCAGCUAAAUUUGUGGAAACAGAAAAUAAAAGAGAGACGAGGAAAACUUCAAGUAGUUCACGAACCGUAAGAAAUCUCGUGACCAGCGACGACCGGCAAAAGAAAUUUGGGACCGGGGAAACAGAAAAUAAAAGAGAGACGAGGAAAACGCAAAAAAAUCUCGAUUUGUGCGUGUCAUCCUUGCGCAGGGGCCAUGCUAAUCUUCUCUGUAUCGUUCCAAUUUUAUCGGAUGUCCCCAAGGGCUGUUACGUUAGGG